GAAUGAAGAAAGAUAAAAAGAACAAAAAAAAAAAAGGGAGAUUCAUUCAUAUGUGUUGUGAUUUUAUAUUUUAUUAUGGAUGUCAUUGUUUUCAUUUGUAUUUAAGUGUUAAUAAAGGUG
This 120-nucleotide non-coding RNA is filed under the name uncultured Ochromonas. The record is from RNAcentral. Lineage: Eukaryota; Chrysophyceae; Chromulinales; Chromulinaceae.